This 81-nucleotide non-coding RNA is filed under the name bovine gut metagenome. RNAcentral's name for it is "Glycine riboswitch". It matches the Rfam family "Glycine riboswitch aptamer", at positions 8 to 87 of the family's 94-position model. Rfam says of the family: This family represents the bacterial glycine riboswitch. The record is from RNAcentral.
GAACUUUGGAGAAUCCCGUAUUAAAUCGGGUGCCGAAGGGGCAAGGCGGUUUCGCUAAUCUCUCAGGCAAAAGGACAAAGU